This 751-nucleotide ribosomal RNA is filed under the name Chryseobacterium sp. RNAcentral describes it as "bacterial SSU rRNA". It matches the Rfam family "Bacterial small subunit ribosomal RNA", at positions 607 to 1367 of the family's 1533-position model. Lineage: Bacteria; Pseudomonadati; Bacteroidota; Flavobacteriia; Flavobacteriales; Weeksellaceae. The record is from RNAcentral.
GCUCAACUGGGAAACUGCCUUUGAUACUGGCAGGCUUGAGUGUUGUUGAAGUGGCUGGAAUUCCUAGUGUAGCGGUGAAAUGCAUAGAUAUUACUUGGAAUACCGGUGGCGAAGGCGGGUUACUGGAAACAACUGACGCUGAUGGACGAAAGCGUGGGGAGCGAACAGGAUUAGAUACCCUGGUAGUCCACGCCGUAAACGAUGCUAACUCGUUUUUGGAGCGCAUGCUUCAUAGACUAAGCGAAAGUGAUAAGUUAUCCACCUGGGGAGUACGAACGCAAGUUUGAAACUCAAAGGAAUUGACGGGGGCCCGCACAAGCGGUGGAUUAUGUGGUUUAAUUCUAUGAUACGCCAGGAACCUUACCACGGCUUAAAUGGGAAAUGACAGGUUUACAAAUAUACUUUUCUUCCGACAUUUUUCAAGGUGCUGCAUGGUUGUCGUCUGCUCGUGCCGUGAGGUGUUAGGUUAAGUCCUGCUCCAGCGCAACCCCUGUCACUAGUUGCCAUCAUUAAGUUGGGGACUCUAGUGACACUGCCUACUCAAGUAGAUAGGAUGGUGGGGAUGACGUCAAAUCAUCACGGCCCUUACGCCUUGGGCCACACGCGUAAUACAAUGGCCGGUACAGAGGGCAACUACACUGCGAAAGUGAUGCAAAUCUCGAAAGCCGGUCUCAAUUCGGAAUGGAGUCUGCAACUCACUCUAUGACUCUGGAAUCUCUGGUAAUCUCGCAUCAGCCAUGGCGCGAUGAAU